This 253-nucleotide ribosomal RNA is filed under the name uncultured bacterium. Its description in RNAcentral is "partial 16S ribosomal RNA". It matches the Rfam family "Bacterial small subunit ribosomal RNA", at positions 524 to 776 of the family's 1533-position model. The record is from RNAcentral.
UACGUAGGGGGCAAGCGUUGUCCGGAAUCAUUGGGCGUAAAGAGCGCGUAGGCGGCCCGAUAAGUCCGCUGUGAAAGUCACAGGCUCAACCUGUGAAUGCCGCUGGAAACUGUCUGGCUAGAGUCCGGGAGGGGCGAGUGGAAUUCCUGGUGUAGCGGUGAAAUGCGCAGAUAUCAGGAGGAACACCGGUGGCGAAGGCGGUUCUCUGGGCAUUACCUGACGCUGAGGAGCGAAAGUGUGGGGAGCGAACAGG